GAGUUUGAUCGUGGCUCAGGAUGAACGCUGGCGGCGUGCCUAAUACAUGCAAGUCGAGCGAACAGACGAGGAGCUUGCUCCUCUGACGUUAGCGGCGGACGGGUGAGUAACACGUGGAUAACCUACCUAUAAGACUGGGAUAACUUUUCGGGAAACCGGAGCUAAUACCGGAUAAUAUAUUGAAUCGCAUGGUUCAAUAGUGAAAGACGGUUUGCUGUCACUUAUAGAUGGAUCCGCGCCGCAUUAGCUAGUUGGUAAGGUAACGGCUUACCAAGGCAACGAUGCGUAGCCGACCUGAGAGGGUGAUCGGCCACACUGGAACUGAGACACGGUCCAGACUCCUACGGGAGGCGAGCAGUAGGGAAUCUUCCGCAAUGGGCGAAAGCCUGACGGAGCAACGCCGCCGUGAGUGAUGAAGGUCUUCGGAUCGUAAAACUCUGUUAUUAGGGAAGACAAUGUGUAAGUAACUAUGCACGUCUUGACGGUACCUAAUCAGAAGCCACGGCUAACUACGU
Molecule: ribosomal RNA, 515 nt
Filed under: uncultured microorganism
Description: bacterial SSU rRNA
Rfam family: Bacterial small subunit ribosomal RNA
Source: RNAcentral